GACGAACGCUGGCGGCGUGCUUAACACAUGCAAGUCGAACGGAAAGGCCCUGCUUUUGUGGGGUGCUGGAGUGGCGAACGGGUGAGUAACAGGUGAGUAACGUGCUCUUGACUUUGGUAUAACUUCAGGAAACUGGGGUUAAUACCGGAUAGGAGCUCCUGCUGCGUGGUGGGGGUUGGAAAUUUUCGGCGGUCGGGGUUGGACUAGCGGCUUAUCAGCUUGUUGGUGGGGUAGUGGCUUACCGAGGCUUUGACGGGUAGCCGGCCUGAGAGGGUGACCGGCCACAAUGGGACUGAGAUACGGCCCAGACUCCUACGGGAGGCAGCAGUGGGGAAUAUUGCACAAUGGGCGGAAGCCUGAUGCAGCAACGCCGCGUGCGGGAUGACGGCCUUCGGGUUGUAAACCGCUUUCGCCUGUGACGAAGCGUGAGUGACGGUAAUGGGUAAAGAAGCACCGGCUAACUACGUG
This 468-nucleotide ribosomal RNA is filed under the name uncultured bacterium. RNAcentral's name for it is "partial 16S ribosomal RNA". It matches the Rfam family "Bacterial small subunit ribosomal RNA", at positions 28 to 507 of the family's 1533-position model. The record is from RNAcentral.